GGGGUUAUAGUUUAAAGAAGAACAUUUGCUUGUCGAGCAAUUAGUCCGGGUUCGAGUCCCGGUAACCUCG
Molecule: transfer RNA, 70 nt
Filed under: Oscarella balibaloi
Lineage: Eukaryota; Metazoa; Porifera; Homoscleromorpha; Homosclerophorida; Oscarellidae
Description: tRNA-Asp
Rfam family: tRNA
About the family: Transfer RNA (tRNA) molecules are approximately 80 nucleotides in length. Their secondary structure includes four short double-helical elements and three loops (D, anti-codon, and T loops). Further hydrogen bonds mediate the characteristic L-shaped molecular structure. tRNAs have two regions of fundamental functional importance: the anti-codon, which is responsible for specific mRNA codon recognition, and the 3' end, to which the tRNAs corresponding amino acid is attached (by aminoacyl-tRNA synthetases). tRNAs cope with the degeneracy of the genetic code in two manners: having more than one tRNA (with a specific anti-codon) for a particular amino acid; and 'wobble' base-pairing, i.e. permitting non-standard base-pairing at the 3rd anti-codon position.
Source: RNAcentral